Molecule: ribosomal RNA, 434 nt
Filed under: uncultured bacterium
Lineage: Bacteria
Description: bacterial SSU rRNA
Rfam family: Bacterial small subunit ribosomal RNA
Source: RNAcentral
AACGCGAAGAACCUUACCAGCCCUUGACAUGGUCGGACGGUUACCAGAGAUGGUUUCCUUCACUUCGGUGACUGACACACAGGUGCUGCAUGGCUGUCGUCAGCUCGUGUCGUGAGAUGUUGGGUUAAGUCCCGCAACGAGCGCAACCCUCGCCCUUAGUUGCCAUCAUUCAGUUGGGCACUCUAAGGGGACUGCCGGUGAUAAGCCGGAGGAAGGUGGGGAUGACGUCAAGUCUUCAUGGCCCUUACGGGCUGGGCUACACACGUGCUACAAUGGCGGUGACAGAGGGCUGCUAGGCCGCGAGGCCAUGCUAAUCCCUAAAAGCCGUCUCAGUUCGGAUUGCACUCUGCAACUCGGGUGCAUGAAGUCGGAAUCGCUAGUAAUCGCAGAUCAGCACGCUGCGGUGAAUACGUUCCCGGGUCUUGUACACACCG